This 16055-nucleotide long non-coding RNA is filed under the name Jatropha curcas. RNAcentral's name for it is "long non-coding RNA (JCUR_LNC003329)". The record is from RNAcentral. Lineage: Eukaryota; Viridiplantae; Streptophyta; Magnoliopsida; Malpighiales; Euphorbiaceae.
UUGAUUUGGGUCAGAUUGGGUUUCAUGGGUUGUUGGGCUCUUUUACAUAAACCUUUGAUUCGUUCUUUUUCUUUUUUCAAUUUUAAGCCUACACAAACAAUGUUUUCUAGUUGUGGUAAUGAAAAAUUUCCGUUUAUCACAUUUUAAAUUUCAAGUUCGCAAAACGGUCUGCACCAUAUAAAAGCUGCUUGGGUACUGUGUGUGCGUAGGAGAGUGGAAGAACUUCUGCUGGUGCUAGGCUGCUAGCAUCGUUGUCUGUCAUUUGGUAGCAACCCAGAUGUUUGAUGUUUUGUCUGUUUGAGGUCAUGGAGAUUCGAGAGGCUCUUUUGGAGGUUCCAACAUUUAACUAUGGAAACACCUUUCAUAGAAACUUUCAAGAAAAUAUCAUAGGUGGAGCCGCGGGAAAGUGCAAACCUUGCAAUUGACGGCACAGAAAAAUACUAACAGAAACUCAGUAGGUAUUGAAGAAGCUGCGGGCAAAUAUCACACAUUUCAUGGAGGAUCUCUCAAAUUCCCAAACAGCUCCAUCGGGUAAGUUUUCAUUUCUAUCAGUUAUUCGCUCUAAAUUACCGACCGUGAAUGUCCAAAAAUUUAUUUGCUUUGCUAGUUGUAACCCAAAAAUAAUUAAAGCUAUGCCGCGCAUUUUUACUCUUCUUCCUUAAACCAAAACCAAAGUUUCCUCAAUCCUAGACUCGAGCCCUAGAGCUGUAACAAUAGCUCCUUUUUUGUCCCCUUUUUUUUUUUUUUUUUUUUUUUUUUUGUGGAGGGGUUUCUUUUGUCCCCUUUUUUUUUUUUUUUUUUUGUGGAGGGGUUUCUUUUGUCCCCUUUUUUUUUUUUUUUUUUUGGGGGGGGGGGGGGUGUUUAAUAGAGAGUAUUAACAUUAAUAACUCAGUAAAUAUAUUAUUGAAUUAUAUAAUUUCCUGCGCAGCCACUCUGAGGGAACAAUAGAGCAAAAUGAAAAAUCCAUAAACUCAUAUACCUAUUUUGUGCUGAAGUAAUGGUUGUAAGAUCCAUAAGCUUAUAUAUAUUACAAAGCUAGUGCAGAGUUUUGAAUCCUCCACUGUGAAAUAUGUUGUUGUCUGGGAAAUUUCUUAUAUAUUUGUAUCAGAGUCUACUAGGAAGAAUUCCUGCAGUUAAAAUUUAAAUUCAAACAAUGAGAGUCAAUGUCCUUAGCGAGCUAAGAAAGUAGUGAUUGUAACCUCAUUUACAGAACUUGAUCUUUCCUCCCCUGCUCCAAAUGAGUUAGUGUUGCUGCUAGAUGCUACAAAAAUGAAAGCUGGUUUUUUUGGACUAGGAAGAGCUGUUUCACUGCUCAACAUUAGAAUAACUUCAAACAUAGCGGGUCUGUCUAUAGCAUUUUCCUGAACACAUAACAGCCCAAUUUGUAUGCAUCUCAACACUUCAUGAGGAGGAUAUGAUCCCUCCAGUGAUGAAUCAACUAUCUUCAAUACAUCAUCUUUGCUCCAUAACUCCCAUACCUAUAACAUAGAAUGAACAGUUAAUAUAUAAAUUAUAUUACAUUGGGGCUAUUGUUUUUAAAAAUAUUCUUUAACUUACAUGUCCUAUCAAGCAAAAGGAAGAAUCUUCUUGUUUAAAGCCAUUGCUUUUCUUGCCACUUAUAAUUUCCAACAGUAUGACGCCAAAACUAAACACAUCAGAUUUUACCGAAAACUUUCCAAGCACUGCAUACUCUGGUGACAUGUAGCCACUGCAUAAGAAAAAAAUAUUGAAAGUGGACUUUUUUUUUCUUUUGAUCAGCAAAAUAAAGUAAUUUUAUUAGAAAUCCAGGAAAAAUUUAUCAAACUAACUGGACUUAAUACCUAUUGCAAUUCCUUAAUGGUAAUCAAGCAUUGUAGUAUCUUGUACUUACUAGGUUCCAACUACUCUAUUCGUCUUCUCUUGAAUUUGAUCAGCUCUGAGUACCCUAGCCAUGCCAAAAUCUGAAAUUUUUGGGUUCAUCUGAGCAUCUAAUAGAAUGUUGCUGCUUUUUAAAUCUCUAUGGAUAAUUCUCAACCUGGAGUCUUGGUGAAGAUAUAAGAUUCCUCUACCAAUCCCAGUUAUAAUAUUGAACCGUUUCUUCCAAUCUAGGACUGACCUUCUUGUUUGAUCUACAACAAGAUUUUCAAUUUUAUCAUUGUAACUUGUAAUAUAUACACCUGAAUCAUAUUUCUAUGAAAUAUUUACAAUAAGAGAACCAAUUCAAUGCUGACCAAUUGAUGUACUAAAAGACUUACCAAAAAGAAAUGAAUCCAAGCUUUUGUUUGGCAUAUAUUCAUAAAUUAACAUUUGUCGUUCUCCCUCAAUACAGCACCCAAGAAGUUUCACAAGAUUCCUAUGUUGAAGCUUUGCAAUCAACAUGACUUCAUUUUUAAAUUCUUCUAUGCCUUGACCUGAACUUUUGGAUAGCCUUUUUACAGCAAGUUCUUGUCCAUUAGUUAGCUGACCCUGAAUCAUGUUUUCAACUUUCAGUUUUCUGUGAAAAAUCAAGCCGAAGCUAUUGCGCUCACUCAGAAUCUCAAAAUAACAUGGCAAAGCAAGCACACAGAAAUAUACGAACUUAAGAAAACAAUUAGGAUUCUGAUAUUAUAUAGAGACUUCACCUUGUAGACUGAACCAAAACCACCCUUGCCUAGUUUGUUUCCUGGAGAGAAGUUGUUAGUGGCAACAACUAUCGUGCCAAGGUCAAAAAAUGUAAUGUCUGGAGGAUGGCUAUUUCCCCUGAGUUCAUGUGCCGCCAAAAUAUUUUUAUAGUAUAUAGAACCUCUAAUAGGGUCAAAUACUUUGUUUUCUGAUUUGUUCUUGAUUCCUGUCCUCAGAAAAGAUUGAAAACAAAAGAUUAAUCUGAGGGUCUUUAUGAUAGGUUUCAAUGGUGCAGUAAGAGCAGUUCAGUCUCUUACAAAACCUUGAAGUAACAUUCUUAUAAUGAUUGUAUAGAGAGCUUGUAACGUGAAUCUUGUGAAAGGUUAGAGCUACUCUUUAGAACAAAUACACGUGGAAGUCAAUCAUAAUGCAAAUGAGGUCUUUUUUCUCCUUACCUUUUCUUUUCCUCCUAAGCCACAAAUAAGCAAAGAAGAAAACAGUAAUCCAUGCCGAAGCAAUAGACAGUUUUAGAAUGUUCAGCUCCUUUCCAAGAAAAGCAUUUGAUCUUCUUGCAUUCUUAGCUGCAUCAGUGUGAAAAGAAAGGGGGGAAAUGGUAACUUGAAUUCGGCUUUGAAUCAAGAGGAUAAAAGAUAAGACGAGAAUAGUAACACAACCACAGCAAAAAUGGCAUUUCUGUUGGAGUGGGUUUAUUUUUCAUGGCAUAAUACUGUUCAGGUUUUACUAUAUGAUCACUAUUGUUGACAAAGUGUUUCACAUUUCAAAGGCUAAGCAGGAAGUCAUAUACCUAAUGUAGCCGCAUCAACACGAACAUACAGAUUGAAUCUUUCAUCUAUAUGAUCUACUGUGUCCCAUAAUUUUCCAUACCAUAGCAUACAUCCACUUGCUCUCCCAACUAUAUCUAUUCUUGCAUAUGCAGUGCAUGAGCAAUUCUUGCUGCAUUCUUGUUCACAACCUGUCCGACUUAUAUUCAUGUCCACCCAAAUUGCAGUUGAUGUAUCGGGAAGCUUAACAUUUUCCACUUUCACAAAUCCUUCGCCAUGCCCACACAGUAAAGAAGGAUCCUCCCGCUUCCUAAUACACCAUCCUGAUGCAUCUCUUAGAUGCCAAUCUCUGGGAGAUUUGGGUUGAUAACCAGGUAAACAAGAACACUCAAAUUUAUCAGGAUUGCUAGGGGUGCACUUACUUGAAGCACCACAAUAUGCAUACACAUCGCACCGGUGUUUAGGCACGGACCAAAACUCUUUCCACUGGCCAUCAUUAUUAUGCCACCUUAGCCACUUGACAAAUCCUGAAUAUUCCGCUACUCCUCUGAAGAUAAAAGAAGUAUCCAACAAAUGGUAGGAAAAAUAUAUCUCGUUUUGAUUGUUAACAUAUGUAUAAUUGUAUAUAUCCAAGAAUGUUGCCCAUGGCCAUGAGGUGCCUCGGCAAUAGGGUCUUGAGGCCUUGUAAAGAAAGAACUGUGGCAAGCCUGUUGUGUCUAACAUGAGUGAGUAAUCUCCAGUACCUGGAUCAUUUGCUGAUCUCCAUGAAGUUAGCAUCCAGUGCAGUCCUGUCUUCCGAUUCAACCCUAAUCUCAUCCCUGGUAGCUGCGUAUCAGUGGGAUAAUCAAAGCUCUGCCACACAAUUCUUUCACUUGUACCUUGGAGCAAUACCAAAUUUCCUGAAUCCAAGAGUUGAAGCACAAAAGCAUCUGAACCUUCCACUGUUAUGUUUGCAGACCAUACUAUAACUUUUUUAUGAGGAUCACUAUAAAGAACAAGGUUCCCAUAUUGAUUGAUUGAAAGAACACCUGAGGAGCCAGCGAUAGGAUAGUUCCGGUUUGCGACCCAUAUCACAGAUUUUUCUGAAAUUUUAUGAAACCAAAUUCCAAGAUAUCUAUUGGUAGAACUACCAGGGCUGAAAAACCCAAAUGCAAAUUCAUUACCCAUGGAGACAAGUAAGUUUCCUUCUUUGAAAAUUUGUUUUGAUGUAAUUUUAUCAAGGCAAGUGCAUGAUGUGAAUUGGAAGAGUAUAAUCAAAUGAUACAGGAACUUUACCGUAUCAGCCAUGCUGUUUUUUCAGCGAUUCCGUUUUCCCCCUCGGGCUAUAUUCUUGAAUGUUUGCUUUUCGAAGUUGUUCUUUUUUUUUCCUCAUCUCGCGCUUACUUGUUUGAUAUUUAAUAUUAAUUUUUCUUCAAAAUUUUCUUUGAACGAAAUUUCCUCACAUUAUCCUUGAAGUCGUCAAUUACUUAAUCUAUCAUAAUGGUUAGAAUUCUACCAGAUAUUAUUAUUCUGUGAUGUGAACUACGGUUUGUUCCCUUAAUAAUGUGACUUUGUUAAUAGUAUUGAGAAAACGAAGAUAUGAAAAAAAAAAAAAAAAAAAAAAAGAAAAGUAAUGGGACUGUCAAUUUCAAACUGACGUGAUGAUAUGAAAAGCAAAAAAAAAGACAUUUGAUAAAGUUCAGGUCAAACUUUUCCAAUGUUGCAGAAGGGUUGAGGUUAGCACAUAAACUGCAAAUUGUGACGGGAGUACAAUUCUGUUAAACCAAAUUAUGUUUUCUUGACCAGCGACGCAACAAUUUCUUUUUCUUUCUAAGAAAAUAAAUUUUUGAAUGGAAAGGAAAUCACAACAUCAUGCUGAAUGUGAAUUCGGAUUUUGAAUUUUUUUUCUUUCAAAUUAGAAACGCCUGUCUUAUUAUUAUUGUUUUUGGCCAACCGCACCGCGUGUUUCCAAAUUUAAUUGCUAAUCCCAAAUUCAUUAUCUCUUCUGCCUAAUUUAAUUGCUGUUUGGAAAAUGAUACGUCGUUUGCUAUAGUGAAAUGAAAAUUUUAGGUCUCCAGUAAAAAGAUUAGACGAUGUUGGUGAAUGGCAGGUUAUUGAAAUUCCGGUUUCAGUCGGCUGCUAACUACAACAGAAAACGUCUGUAAAUCAUUGUAGAACACCUAAACUCUUCAUUAAAAUUUACAUGGAAAGUCUUGAAAUCAUUAGCGAGCUACAAAAGCAGUGAUUGUAACCUCAUUUACAGAACUUGAUCUUUCCUCCCCUGCUCCAAAUGAGUUAUUGUUGCUGCUAGAUGCUAUAAAAAUGAAAGCUGGUUUUUUUGGACUAGGAAGAGCUGUUUCACUGCUCAACAUUAGAAUAACUUCAAACAUAGCGGGUCUGUCUAUAGCAUUUUCCUGAACACAUAACAGCCCAAUUUGUAUGCAUCUCAACACUUCAUGAGGAGGAUAUGAUCCCUCCAGUGAUGAAUCAACUAUCUUCAAUACAUCAUCUUUGCUCCAUAACUCCCAUACCUAUAACAGAGAAUGAACAGUUAAUGAUAUUACCUUGGAGCUAUUGUUUCUAAAAAUAUUCUUUAACUUACAUGUCCUAUCAAGCAGAAGGAAGAAUCUUCUUGUUUAAAGCCAUUGCUUUUCUUGCCACUUACAAUUUCCAACAGUACGACCCCAAAACUAAACACAUCAGAUUUUACGGAAAAAUUUCCAAGCACUGCAUACUCUGGUGACAUGUAGCCACUGCAUAAGAAAAAGUAUUGAAAGUGAACUUAAUACCUAUUCCAAUUCGUUCAUGGUAAUCAAGCACUGUAGUAUCUUGUACUUACUAGGUUCCAACUACUCUAUUCGUCUUCUCUUGAAUUUGGUCAGCUCUGAGUAUUCUAGCCAUGCCAAAAUCUGAAAUUUUUGGGUUCAUCUCAGCAUCUAGUAGAAUGUUGCUGCUUUUCAAAUCUCUGUGGAUAAUUCUCAACCUCGAGUCCUGAUGAAGAUAUAAGAUUCCUCGACCAAUUCCAGUUAUAAUAUUGAAACGUUUCUUCCAAUCUAGGACUGACCUUCUUGUUUGAUCUACAACAAGAUUUUCAAUUUUAUCAUUGUAAUAUCUGCACCUGAAUCAUAUUGCUAUGGAACAUAUGCAAUACGAGAACCAAUUCAACGCUGACCAAUGGUAUAAAAAGACUUGCCAAAAAGAAAUGCAUCCAAGCUUUUGUUUGGCAUAUAUUCAUAAAUUAACAUUUGUUGUCCUCCCUCGAUGCAGCACCCAAGAAGUUUCACAAGAUUCCUAUGUUGAAGCUUUGCAAUCAACAUGACUUCAUUUUUAAAUUCUUCUAUGCCUUGACCUGAACUCUUGGAUAGCCGUUUUACAGCAACCUCUUGUCCAUUAAUUAGCUGACCCUGAAAUCAUGUUUUCAACUUUCAAUUUUACUCGUUCAGAAUCUCAAAUUAACAUGCCAAAGCAAGCAGACAGAAAUACAUGAACUUAAGAAAACAAUUUAGAUUCUGACAUUAUAUAGAGACUCUACCUUGUACACUGAACCAAAACCACCCUUCCCUAGUUUGUUUCCUGAAGAGAAGUGGUUAGUGGCAGCCACUAUUGUGCCAAGGUCAAAAAAUGUUAUGUCUCGAGGAUGGCUAUUUCCACCGAGUUCAUGUGCCGCCAAAGUAUUUUUGUAGUAUAUGGAACCAUUAACAGGGUCAAAUACUUUGUUUUCUGAUUUGUUCUUCAUUCCUGUCCUCAAAACAAAUUGAAAACAUAAGCUUAAUCUAAUGUAUUUACAAUAGGUUUUAAUGGUGCAACAGGAGCAGUUCAUCGCUCAAAAAACCUUAACUAACGCUCUUAUACUGAUUGUAUAGAGAGCUUGUAAAGUGAAUUUUGUGAAAAAAGUUAGAUAUCUAAUUCUACUCUUUAGAAAAAAAAAACAUAAGGUCUUUUUUUCUUCCUUACCUUUUCUCCGCCUCCUAAGCCACAAAUAAGCAAAGAAGAAAACAGUAAUCCAUGCUGAAGCAAUAGACAGCGUUAGAAUAUUCAGCUCCUUUCCAAGAAAACCAUUUGAACUUCUCUCAUUCUGAGCUGCAUCAGUAUGAAAAGAAAGGGGGAAGAGGUAACUUGAAUUUGGGUUUGAAUUAAGAGGCUAACAGAUAAGACAAUACUUGUAACAGAAUCAAGGCAAAACCUAGCAUUUGUAUUGAAGUGGGUUUUACUCUAUGAUCACUAUUUUGAUAUAAGUAGUGGUGUUUCACAUUUCAGAGCUAAGCAAGAAUUCAUAUACCUAAUUCAACCGCAUCCACACGAACAUACAGAUUGAAUCUUUCGUCAACAUGAUCGAGUGUGUCCCAUAACUGUCCAUACCAUAGCAAACAUCCCCUUGCUCUUCCAACUAUAUCUAUUCCUGCAUAUGCAGAGCAUGAGCAAUUCCUGCUGCAUUCUUGUUCACAACCUUUACGACUCACAUUCAUGUUCACCCAAAUUGCAGUUGAAGUAUCAGGAAGCUUAGCAUUUUCCACUUUCACAAAUCCUUCACCAUGCCCACACAGUAAAGAAGGAUCCUCCCGCUUCCUAACACACCCUCCCGAUGCAUCUCUUAGAUGCCAAUCUCUUGGGGAUUUGGGUUGAUAACCAGGUAAACAAGAACACUCAAAUUUAUCAGGAUUGCUUGGGGUACACUUACUAGAAGCACCACAAUUUGCAUACACAUCACAUCGGUUUUCAGGGAUGGUCCAAAGCGUUUUCCACUGGCCAUGAUUAUUAUGCCACCUUAGCCACUUGACGAAUCCUGAAUGGUCCACUACUGCUCUCGUGAUAAAAGAGGUACCAACCAAAUGGUAGGAAUAAUAUAUUUCGUUUUGAUUGUUAACGUACGUAUAAUCAAAUAUAUCCAAGAAUGUUGCCCAUGGCCAUGGGGUGCUUCGGCAAUACGGUCUUGAGGCCUUGUAAAUAAAGAAUUGUGGUGAGCCUCUUGUGUCUAACACCAAUGAGUAAUCUCCACUACCUGGAUCGUUUGUUGAUCUCCAUGAAGUCAGCAUCCAGUGCAGUCCUGCCUUCUGAUUCAACCCUAAUCUCAUCCCUGGUAGCAGCGUAUCGGUGGGAUAAUCGAAGCUCUGCCACACAAUUCUUUUGCUUGUACCUUGGAGCAAUACCAGAUUUCCUGAAUCCAAGAGCUGAAGCACACAAGCAUCCGAACCUUCCACUGUUAAAUUUGCAGACCAUACUAGAACUUUUUGGUGAGGAUCACUGUAAAGAACAAGGUCUCCAUUUUGAUUGAUUGACAGAACACCUGAGGAGCCAACAAUAGGAUAGUUCCUGUUUGCUACCCAUAUCACAGAUUUUUCAGAAACUUUAUGAAACCAAAUUCCAAGAUAUCUAUUAGUAGAACUACCAGGACUGAAAAACCCAAAUGCAAAUUCAUUGCCCUUGGCGACGAGAAGGUUUCCUUCUUUGAAGGUUUGGUUUGAUGUAAUUGUAUCAAGACAAGUGCUUGAUGUGAAUUGGAAGAGCAUAAUCAAAUAACAAAGGAACUUUUCUGUAGCAGCCAUGGUGUUUUUCGGUGGUUACGUUACCCCCUUGGCCAUUUUCUUAAUGUUUGCUUCCAAAAGAAUUUUUUUCCUUGACUCCCUCAUUUUCUCGUUUGAUAUUGAUAUUUAAUAUGAUUUUUUAUUCAUAUUUUCCAUCAAAAGAAAUUUCCACACGUUAACCAUGAAGUUUGUAACCUGUCAUAAAGGUCAGAAGUCUACGCGUUUUAUUAAUAGAUAUUCUGUGCGCUUCUGUGAUGUCAACUGCGGUUUGUUCCCUUAAUGCGACUUUGUUAAUAAUAUUGAAAAAAAAAAAAUGGAAAAUUCAAACUGCAAUGUUCAUAAUGAUAUGAAAAGAGUCUGAGAUUUUGAUGGACUUCAGGUCAAACUUUUCCAAUAUUGCAGAAGGGUUGAUUUUAGGACAAACUGCAAUUUUCUAUUUUUGUUAAACCGAAUUGUCUUGUCUUAAUUAUACAAUUGAAAAUUUUCUUUUUCUUUCUAAGAAAAUAAAUUUUUGCAGGGAAAAGAAAGCGCAACAUAAUGAUGGAGAAUUCAGAUUUUAAAGUUUUCUUCCAAAAUUUACAAAAAGAGAAAAAACAACUAUCUUUUCUGAUUUUUUCUUUUUUUUUUUUUUUUUAUAAUUUUAUUCUUGGCCAACUAAACCCCACGUUUUGAAGUCCAGAAACCGGCACCACACGUGUUCCCAAAUUUAACUGCUAUUCGCAAAGCUUCAUAAGCUCGUCUGAAUAAUCUAAUUGCGGCUUGGAAAAUUAAGAGUAAAAUGAAAAUUUCAGGUCUUCUGUAAAAAGAUUAGAUGUCGGUGAACGACAAGUUAUUGAGAUUCCUAUUUAGUCGUUGAAAGAAAACGUCUAUAAAUCAUUGUAGUACAACCUAAAUUGCAUAUCUUCAAGUAAAAUUUACAUGCGAAUGAUGAUUCUAAAGUAUCCUUAACGAGCUACAAAAGUAGUGACUGUAACCUCAUUUACAGAACCUGAUCUUUCCUCCCCUACUCCAAAUGAGUUAGUGUUGCUGCUUGAUGCUCUAAAACUGUAAGCUGGAUGUUUUGGACUAGGAAGAGCUGUUUCACUGUUCAACAUUAGAAUUACUUCUGACAUAGUUGGUCUUUCUGCAGCAUCUUCUUGAACACAUAGCAGCCCAAUUUGAAUGCAUCUCAAGACUUCAUGAGGAGGAUAUGACCCCUUCAGUGAUGAAUCAACUACCUGCAGCGCAUUGUCUUCUAUCCAUAACUCCCACACCUGUACCAGAGGUGAACAGUUAAUAUAAAUUAUGUACCUUCUUGUUGGAGGUAUAGUUUCUGAAUAGUUUCUUUCACUUACAUGUCCUAUCAAGCAAAGGGAAGAUUUCACUGUUAUAAAGUCGUUGCUUUUCUUGCCAGUUAUAAUUUCCAACAUUAUGACUCCAAAACUGAAUACAUCAGAUUUUACUGAAAACUUACCGAACACUGCAUACUCUGGUGACAUAUAGCCACUGCAUAAGAAAAUUGUUCGAAGUAGCUUAAUGCAUAUUUCAAUCAUUAUUGGGUAAUAUUCAUAGUGAUCAACUAUUUUAAUAUCCUUACUUACUAGGUUCCAACCACUCUGUUUGUCUUCUCUUGAAUUUGAUCAGCUUUGAAUAUUCUAGCCAAGCCAAAAUCUGAAAUCUUUGGGUUCAUUUCCGCAUCUAAUAGUAUGUUGCUGCUUUUUAAAUCUCUAUGGAUAAUUCUCAAUCUUGAAUCUUGGUGAAGAUAUAAUAUUCCUCGAGCCAUUCCAAUUAUGAGAUUGAAGCGUUUCCUCCAGUCUAGUGCUGACUUUCCUCUUUGAUCUAAAACAAGAUUUUAGAUUUUUUAUUUAUUUAAUUUUUUGCACCUGAAUCAUAUAUGCUAUGAAACAUUAUAGAACCUUUCAACACUGACCAACGUAUGUAUAAAGAGACUUACCAAAAAGAAACGAGUCCAAGCUUUUAUUUGGGAGAUACUCAUAAAUUAACAUUUGCUCCCCUCCCUCACUGCAGCAUCCAACAAGUUUCACAAGAUUCCGAUGUUGAAGCUUCGCAAUCAACAUGACUUCAUUUUUAAAUUCUUCUAUGCCUUGCACUGAAUUUCUGGACAGUCGUUUUACAGCAACCUCUUGUCCAUUAAAUAGCUGACCCUGAAAUUACAUUAUCAACUGUUAACUUUAUCUGAAAAAUCAAGCCUAAGCUGGUUUUUUCAUGCAGAAAUCGGAAUCUUAAAAUAAUAGACAAAAGAAAGCACAUAGAAAAACAUGCGCUUAAGGAACUAAUCAUGAUUCAUUUGUAUAGAGAGUCUACCUUGUACACUGACCCAAAACCACCCUGGCCUAGUUUGUGAGCUGGAGAGAAGUUGUUAGUUGCAGUAACCAUGGUGUUAAGAUCGAAAAAGGUUAUGUCUGGAGGAUGACUACUCCCUCCAACUUCACAUGCCAAAAGAGUAUUUCUGUGGUAGAUUGAACCAUGGAUAGGAUCAAAUACUCCGUUUUCUGAUUUCUUCUUCUUCCCUGUUCUCCAGCAAAAUGAAAACAAAUAUAAGUGUUUUUUUUUCUUUUUAAGAUUUUGGAGUUUAAUUAAGAACAGUUCAGUUCCACGCAAAUUGCUAAGGUAUUAUUAUUAUUGUAAAUAUAUGUCCAUUGUCUUGUAACGAAACAUUUAAAGUAAAUUUUAUAACAAGUUAUAUAUCUGAAUCUAGUCAAUAGAACAAAUACACAAGGCACAACAAUGGACUAAGUUUUCUUUUUAUUCUUACUUGUUCUCCUUCUCUUGAGCCACAGAUAGGUUAAGAAGAAAAUGAUAAUCCAUGCUGAAGAAAGUGAUAGUACUAGAAUGUUCCGCUCCUUUCCAUGAGAAGCAGUUAAUUUUCUUUCAUUCUCAGCUGCAGCAAUAGGAGAAGACUAUAAUUUCACUCCAAAAAAAAGUAGGGGGAAUGGUAACUAUGAUCUGUGUUUUUAAUCAAGAGGCAAAAGAUAACGAAACAAAAACAGAAAAUUUGUGCAGAACUGGCUCUAUCUAAUAAAAAAGCAUUUCACAUCUCAAAAUAAGGACUAUUAAGGAAUUCAUAUACCUAAUUCAACUGCAUCGACACGAACAUAGAGAUCAAAUCCUUCACCUGCAUAAUCUACUGUGUCCCACAAUUGCCCAUACCAAGCCAAACAUCCACUUCCUUUGCCCGUGAUACCUAUGCUUGUAUAAGCUGAGCAGGCGCAGUUCUUCUUACACUCCUGUUCACAACGCAUAUGACUCGUAUUCAUGUCAACCCAAAUCGCAGCUGAAGUAUCAGGAAGCUUAACAUUUUCCACUUUCACAAAUCCUUCUCCUUGCCCACACAAUGAAGAAGGAUCUUCGCGCUUCAUGAUACAUCCUCCUGAUGCAUCUCUAAGGAGCCAGUCCCUUGGGAAUUUUGGUUCAUACCCAGGCAAACAAGAACACUCAAAUUUAUCAGGAUAGCUAGGAGAGCACUUGCUAAAAGCACCACAUUUUGCAUACAAAUCACACCGGGAUUCAGGUACAGACCAGAACUCUUUCCACUGGCCAUUAUGCUGCCUUAGCCACUUGGCAAAUCCUGAAUAGUGCACUACUCCUCUCAAGAUAAAAGAUGCAUCAAAUGUAUUGUAGGUAUAAUAUAUCUCGUUUUGAUUGUUAACAUAAGUAUAAUUGUAUAUAUCCAUAACUCUUCCCCAUGGCCAUGGAGUGCUUCGCCAAUAGGGUUUUGAAAACUUGUAAAGAAAGAACUGCGGUGAGCCUCUUGUGUCCAACUUAAGUGAGUAAUCUCCAAUACUUGGGUCAUUUGCUGAUCUCCAUGAAGUUAACAUCCAAGGGAAACCAGCCUUGCAAUUCAACCCAAUUCUCAUACCCGAUAGCCAGGUAUCGGUGGGGUAAUCAAAGCUCUGCCAUACAAUUCUUUCACUUCUACCUUGGAGCAAUACCAAAUUCCCCGAAUCCAAGAGCUGAAGCACAGGAGUAUCUGAUUCCGAACUUUCCACUGUUAAAUUUGUAGACCAUAAUGGAACCUUUUGAUCAGGAUCACUAUAAAGAACGAGGUUCCCAUUUUGAUUGAUUAAGAGAACACCGGAGGAGCCACUAAUAGGAUUGUUCCUGUUUGCUACCCAUACCACAGAUUUUUCUGAAACUUUAUAAAACCAAAUUCCGAGAUAUCUAUUGCUAGAACUGCCAGGGCUAAAAAACCCAAAUGCAAAUUCAUUACCCUUUGAGACUAGAAGGUUUCCUUCUCUGAAGGUCUGGUUUGCUGUAAUUUUAUCAAGACAACUGCAUGAUGUGAAUUGGAGGAGAAUCAUAAUAUACAGAAGCUUUUCGGUAGCAUCCAUGGUGCUUUUCAGUGGCUACACUACCCCCUUAGGCGACGUCCUUAAUAUAUAUAUAUUUUUUUUGAGGACGCUGUUAUCGUUCAAAGAGAGUUCCUUAAAUGCUCAGAAUGCCUCUGUUCUAUACUGAAAGAUUACUUCGGAUGAAUGGGGAAUUACGUCGCUCUUUGAUCUGCAGAAUAAGGCAUACGAGCUCUCUGUUUUAGAUUUAUGGCAGAGAUCUCUCCGCACCACGGAACCAAAUCACAUGGAUUCGAAGAUCUCCUUUUUCUUCCAAUAGCAUUUCCCAACUUUUCUUUCAAAAAAUAAAAAAGCAUUUCCCAACUUUGACUAUCAUCAUAUCCUGGUCAAGGCUCAACAACUCUUUUCUUGCCUUCACACGUUUGAUUGAAAAUUAUUAUUUUCUCUCAACGAAAUUCCCAAUAUCUUAAUUUUCGUUACUUGAUUGUCACUGCCAGAAGUGGAGGUUACUAUUCUACCAGGUAGACUAUAUUUGCUCAUGUGAUGUCAACUCGGUCUAUACAGCAGCAGAUUUGUACUUUGAAAAGGUCCGUUAAACGACAUCAACGACUGUCGUGCGGCUUCCGGUGUCCAAACAAAUACAAAGCCUGAUUUUAAGAAGUUAAUAGUUUGAUUUCAAUUGUGAAACUUAAGAAAACAAAUCACUGGUUCAAUUUACAAUUUUGAAAUUAAAACUGUCAAAAUCAAAUCCAACCUAAUUGAGAAUACAAACAUUUUUUUUAUAUAAUUAGGUUAGCCCAAAAAAAGUGUUACCAGUUACCAGUGAACGGCAGGUCGUCUCAUUUCAAUUUUGGUAGGGGCUUGUCGGGCCUCCCAUUCGUUACAUUAUUGGGCCUUUCUGCCGCGCGAAAAAAGAAAGAGUGCCCUGUCGGACAGAAAAGUUUCUCUUUGAAGUUUCCACUUUUUUCAACACACUAUUUCUUACUUCUAAGUUCCAAAUAAGGGGGAUUCUACCAAAUGGAUGCUUCUAAUUAUAAUCCAAACAAUUAAUUCCAGUAACUGAUGAUGAACAAUCAACAAGGAUUGAAAAAUAUCACACUUUACUCAAGUUCGGGAUCACUAACAGAAAGAACUGGUAGUGUGAGUAUGAUAAUAUUGACACGGUAGAAAUCAUUUCUCCUAAUUGAUUUGUUUCUGCUGAUUCUUAUAUUGAUUUUCCUGUUUAGGUUUUCGAUUGGUUCUCGGCCAAUUCAAUGAACUCUUCUUUCAAAACCAUUCUUGCACUCUUUGCAUGUAAGCUUUCAUCUCUCAUACUUCCCUCUCCUAUUUUUGUUCAUCUUUUCGUUUACGGCCUCUAUGAGAACAACAAGUAGGAAGGAAAGAUCCAUAAAACAAUGUCCAUUUUGUGCUGAAGCGUUGGUUAUAAGAUUACAUGUACAGAACAAAUGUAGUCUAAAGUUCUGAACUUCAAUGGUCUACGAAUUAGUCUCUCUCCUAGUGUGUUGGCCUUACGGGGAAAUUCUCUAAAAAUGAAAGCAGGUUGUUUUGGACUAGGAAGAGUUGUUUCACUGCCCAACAUUAGAGCAACUUCCAACAUCUUUGGCUUUCAUGAGGAAGAUAUGAUCCCUCAAGUGUUGGAUCAACUAUCUCCAAUACAUUAUCUUCUGCUAUACGACAGGGUAUUGAAAUUCAUGUUCAGUCGUUUGCUAGCUACGACUGGAAAUGUCUGUAAAUUAUUGUAGAACAACUGAACUCUUCAUUAAAAUUUACAUGGAAAGUCUCAAAAUCCUCAGCGAGCUACAAAAGUAGUGAUUGUAACCUCAUUUACAGAACUUGAUCUUUCCUCCCCUACUUCAAAUGAGUUAGCGUUGCUGCUAGAUGCUCUAAAAACGUAAGCUGGUUGUUUUGGCAUAGGAAGAGUUGUUUCACUGCCCAACAUUAGAGCAACUUCCAACAUUGUUGGCCUGUCCAUAGCAUUUUCUUGAACACAUAACAAUCCAAUUUGAAUGCAUCUCAAGACUUCAUGAGGAGGAUAUGAUCCCUCAAGUGUUGGAUCAACUAUCUCCAAUACUUUAUCUUCUCUCCAUAACUUCCACACCUGUACCAGAAGUGAACAGUUAAUAUAAAUUAUGUAGCUUUGAAUUGGAGCUAUAGUAUUUGAAGGGUUUCUUUCACUUACAUGUCCUAUCAAGCAAAAGAAAAAUUCCUUUUGUUCGAAGUCAUUGCUUUUCUUGCCACUUAUAAUUUCCAACAGUAUGACCCCAAAACUAAACACAUCAGAUUUUACUGAAAACUUUCCAAACACUGCAUACUCUGGCGACAUAUAGCCACUGCAUAUAACAAUUAUUGAAAGUAGAUUUAAUUAUCUGUCUCAAUUUAUUAUUAGGUAUUUCAUAGUGAUCGAGUAUUGUAACACCUUAUACUUACUAGGUCCCGACCACUCUAUUUGUCUUCUCUUGAAUUUGAUCAGUUUUGAAUAUUCUAGCCAUGCCAAAAUCUGAAAUUUUUGCAUUCAUCUCUGCAUCUAAUAGUAUAUUGCUGCUCUUUAAAUCUCUAUGGAUAACUCUCAAUCUUGAAUCUUGAUGGAGAUAUAAGAUUCCUCGAGCUACCCCAGUUAUAAUAUUGAAGCGUUUCCUCCAAUCUAGCUCUGGCCUCCUUGUUUGAUCUACAACAAGAUUUUAGAUUUUUUUUUUUAUCAAUUGAAUUUUUGCACAUUACUUAUAGAUGUUAUGAAACAUUAGAAUUAUAGUUUCAGUUCAACAUUGAGAAAUGGAUGCAUAAAACUUACCAAAAAGAAAUGAGUCCAAACUUUUAUUUGGCAAAUAUUCAUAAAUUAACAUUUGUUCUCCUCCCUCAAUGCAGCAUCCCAGAAGUUUCACAAGAUUCCUAUGUUGAAGCUUUGC